This 16-nucleotide ribosomal RNA is filed under the name Rana uenoi. Its description in RNAcentral is "partial 16S ribosomal RNA". The record is from RNAcentral. Lineage: Eukaryota; Metazoa; Chordata; Amphibia; Anura; Ranidae.
GCCUAAAAUCUAGCCC